CCUACGGGAGGCUGCAGUGGGGAAUAUUGGACAAUGGGGGCAACCCUGAUCCAGCCAUGCCGCGUGUGUGAAGAAGGCCCUCGGGUUGUAAAGCACUUUCAGUGAGGAAGAACGCCUGGUGGUUAAUACCCAUCAGGAAAGACAUCACUCACAGAAGAAGCACCGGCUAACUCCGUGCCAGCAGCCGCGGUAAUACGGAGGGUGCGAGCGUUAAUCGGAAUUACUGGGCGUAAAGCGCGCGUAGGUGGCUUGAUAAGCCGGUUGUGAAAGCCCCGGGCUCAACCUGGGAACGGCAUCCGGAACUGUCAAGCUAGAGUGCAGGAGAGGAAGGUAGAAUUCCCGGUGUAGCGGUGAAAUGCGUAGAGAUCGGGAGGAAUACCAGUGGCGAAGGCGGCCUUCUGGACUGACACUGACACUGAGGUGCGAAAGCGUGGGUAGCAAACAGGAUUAGAUAACCGAGUAGUC
Molecule: ribosomal RNA, 465 nt
Filed under: Vreelandella stevensii
Lineage: Bacteria; Pseudomonadati; Pseudomonadota; Gammaproteobacteria; Oceanospirillales; Halomonadaceae
Description: partial 16S ribosomal RNA
Rfam family: Bacterial small subunit ribosomal RNA
Source: RNAcentral